GUUCCCCGCGAAAGAGAGGCCACCGCCCUGCCCCGAACCACCCGACCCCGUCCCAACCCCGCGUCCUAAAGCUCCUCCAGCAGAGCCCGGUAUUCUUCCUCGCUGAGGGGUGCUUCCAGCGAGGCGGCCUCUUCCGAGGCCUCCAGCUCCCCCGGGGCCUCCGUUUCUGGGAAAGGGUUAGACACAGAUAAACUGUUUCACGUUAGACCUGUAACCCAAGGAGAUGUGUAUAGAGCUGAAACUGAAGAAAUUCCUAAAAUAUUCCAGAUACUAUAUGCAAAUGAAGGUGAAUGUAGAAAAGAUGUAGAGAUGGAACCAGUACAAGAAGCUGAAAAAACUAAUUUCCAAAAUCACAAAGGCCAUGAGUUUAUUCCUACACUCUACCACUUUCCUGCCAAUUGUGAUGCCUGUGCCAAACCUCUCUGGCAUGUUUUUAAGCCACCCCCUGCCCUAGAGUGUCAAAGACGCCAUGUUAAGUGCCACAGAGAUCACUUAGAUAAGAAAGAGGACUUAAUUUGUCCAUGUAAAGUAAGUUAUGAUGUAACAUCAGCAAGAGAUAUGCUGCUGUUAGCAUGUUCUCAGGAUGAACAAAAAAAAUGGGUAACUCAUUUAGUAAAGAAAAUCCCUAAGAAUCCACCAUCUGGUUUUGUUCGUGCUUCCCCUUGAACGCUUUCUACAAGAUCCACUGCAAAUCAGUCUUUCCGGAAAGUGGUCAAAAAUACAUCUGGAAAAACUAGGUGCUGCCUUUUUGGAUUUAUAAGAAAAUGGCUGUCAGUCGUGAUAGAACAGAGUUUUCCUCAUAUGAGUAAGAGGAAGGGACUUUCACUUUCAAGUGGAACGGCCAUCACUAUCAAGAUCAGCUCAUGGAAGGAGUAAAGAAAAUAUCUCAAAAUGAGACAAACUGAAGUUUUGUUUUUUUUUUAAUGACUUAAGUUUUUGUGCUCUUGCAAGACUAUACAAAACUAUUUUAAGAAAGCAGUGAUAUCACUUGAACUUCAGUGCCCUCACUGUAGAAUUUAAAAGCCUUACUGUUGAUUGCCCAUGGUGGACUUGAUGGAGAAAUUAAAUAUCUUUCAUUAUGCUUUACAAAAUACUGUAUAUGUUUCAGCAAGUUUGGGGAAUGGGAGAGGACGAAAAAAAGUUACAUUUAAUCUAUGCAUUUUUGCCAAGCCAUAUUGAGUUAUUUUACUACUAGAGACAUUAGGAAACUAACUGUACAAAAGAACCAAGUUUAAAAGCAUUUUGUGGGGUACAUCAUUUCUAUAAUUGUAUAAUGUAUUUCUUUGUGGUUUUAAAUGAUAAAGACAUUAAGUUAACAAACAUAUAAGAAAUGUAUGCACUGUUUGAAAUGUAAAUUAUUCUUAGAACACUUUCAAUGGGGGUUGCAUUGUCCUUUUAGUGCCUUAAUUUGAGAUAAUUAUUUUACUGCCAUGAGUAAGUAUAGAAAUUUCAAAAAAUGUAUUUUCAAAAAAUUAUGUGUGUCCGUGAGUUUUUCAUUGAUAAUUGGUUUAAUUUAAAAUAUUUAGAGGUUUGUUGGACUUUCAUAAAUUGAGUACAAUCUUUGCAUCAAACUACCUGCUACAAUAAUGACUUUAUAAAACUGCAAAAAAUGUAGAAGGUUGCACCAAUAUAAAAAGGAAAUAUGGCAAUACAUCCAUGAUGUUUUCCAGUUAACAUAGGAAUUACCAGAUAAAUACUGUUAAACUCUUGUCCGGUAACAAGAGUUGAUUCAUAUGGACAGUAUGAUUUAUUGUUUCUUUUUUUAACCAAAUACCUCCUCAGUAAUUUAUAAUGGCUUUGCAGUAAUGUCUAUCAGAUAAGAAGCACUGGAAAACCGAUCGUCUCUAGGAUGAUAUGCAUGUUUCAAGUGGUAUUGAAAGCCGCACUGAUGAAUAUGUAAUAAUAAACAUAUCUGUUAUUAAUAUAGUAAUGACUGUGCUCAUUUAAUGAGAAAUAAAAGUAAUUUAUGGAUGGAUAUCUUUAAUUUUGACUGCAAUGUGUUUUCUCAUGGCUGAAAUGAAUGGAAAACAUACUUCAAAUUAG
This 2043-nucleotide long non-coding RNA is filed under the name Homo sapiens (human). Its description in RNAcentral is "LHRI_LNC277.2". Lineage: Eukaryota; Metazoa; Chordata; Mammalia; Primates; Hominidae. The record is from RNAcentral.